UGCUGUCUGUGAUGAUAAACCCUUUCAGCAAACAUGCCAGUUCUGCUUCUGAGAAUUCAUGACUGAAACACCGGUUACAGAUCUGAGCCCUCG
Non-coding RNA from Brachypodium distachyon (stiff brome), 93 nucleotides. The record is from Rfam. NCBI's taxonomy places the organism in Eukaryota, Viridiplantae, Streptophyta, Magnoliopsida, Poales, Poaceae.